RNAcentral lists this ribosomal RNA (200 nucleotides) under uncultured bacterium. RNAcentral describes it as "partial 16S ribosomal RNA". It matches the Rfam family "Bacterial small subunit ribosomal RNA", at positions 335 to 527 of the family's 1533-position model. The record is from RNAcentral.
ACUCCUACGGGAGGCAGCAGUGGGGAAUAUUGCACAAUGGGGGAAACCCUGAUGCAGCCAUGCCGCGUGUGUGAAGAAGGCCUUCGGGUUGUAAAGCACUUUCAGUAGGGAGGAAAGGGUGUAGUUUAAUACGCUAUAUCUGUGACGUUACCUACAGAAGAAGGACCGGCUAACUCCGUGCCAGCAGCCGCGGUAAUACA